Molecule: transfer RNA, 71 nt
Filed under: bovine gut metagenome
Rfam family: tRNA
About the family: Transfer RNA (tRNA) molecules are approximately 80 nucleotides in length. Their secondary structure includes four short double-helical elements and three loops (D, anti-codon, and T loops).
Source: RNAcentral
GGGGCUUAGCUCAGUUGGUAGAGCAUCUGCUUUGCACGCAGAGGGUCAGGAGUUCGAAUCCCCUAGCCUCC